GAAUCCAAUAAAGGUCAGUAUCGUUCAUUACUGUGAUUAUAAUGUUGGAUUUUUUCACUAAUUUCUUUGUCCACCUUUAUUUUUGAUUCUGAUUUGAUUCUCUGAUGUUACAGAACAAACAUCUUCUGAUCUCCAGUCCUUGUUGUUCAUGUUCCUUCAUUACUCCACCAAGGAACGGUUAUGUGACGAUAGGCGUAUGUUUGUCCAACAGAUUAGGAUGAAACUUUCAGGGAAGGUCAGAAAUGACACAAGGACCACCUCAUUAGAUUUUGGCAGUGAUGCAGCUUAUAGACUGGAUCCAUGGAUUUGUUCAGGAUUUCCCACUGAAAGAUAGCGGCCGGCACGGCGUCACUGUAACCAUGACAAGAAGUGAACGCUGCAUCAGCUGCCUGAUGACGGUCACAUGAUUGUGAUCCUACUACUGACUUAUCCAUUGGAAAUGAUACAAGAAACAAUUGAUUAAAUUGUGAGGGUGUUUCUGAGUUGUCCUUCCAUCCUUAUGUGAAUUUUCAGACUUUUCAGCAGCUUCUUCCUCAUGUCAAGACACCGCUUCUUCGAUAAACACUUCCUGUGCCACGGGAAUGGUGGAAAAAUAAAAGCCCAUAACAUAAAAAUAUACACCUUCAAAAUAAAAGAAUGGAGGGAACGGUUGUUUUAACACUAGCGAAACAAAGCCUUGCAGAAAGUGAUGAACUGAUCAACAGACCUUUGUAAGAAUAAUUUACACAUAUGUAGGUCACAAAAUUCAAUAUCCGUACGUAACGUACACAUACAUAACACAUGUCUGUGCUUAGUUCAUUUUCUUUGUGGGUACAUCUAUAUUUAAUGGACACAUUCUAUAGUGCCGUCAUUUCUGAUCGUUAUCCAGUCCAUUCCACUUGUUCAUAUGGAGCACACCCGCAUCACUGAAAUCCAGUCCACGUUUUCCCUCCAACCUUGGUUGCUCUCGGUACCUGCAGGAUGUGUUUACCGGGAGGAGCACACAGAACCGACUAGAGCAGCUUUAGGAGAAGAACGUGAACAAGAAUGGAUAUACGAAAUGUUUUCAGGAGACAGGACCUGGUUCUCCUUUAAAAUAAGGAGGAUUCUCCUUAGACCGGUCACUCCUGAAGGACACACAGCUGGAUGCAGGUCCAGGUCCAGAGGACUCUGGUCUCUGAUGGAUUCUGGUAGAUAAAGAAGAAACCCACCAGUAAGAGAAUUUCAUUUUAAUUUCUUUCAGACAUGAACCUUGUAGCAGAGUUUCAGAGUGAUUUAAUGAUGGAAUGUAUUUGGAACAAUGACAGAACAUUUGACACAACAUUCAGUAGUUUGAUUUCACAGCUUACUUCUCUGCAGCAGGAGGUUGAUCAUCUUUAAAUUCAUUGUAGCGACCCAUCGACCGGUCGCUCUUUAAGGACACACAGCUGGAUCCAGGUCCAGGUGGAUUCCUGUCAAUAAUGAUGCAGCAGUGAUGUGAUGCUGAGCUCUGACAUGCAGCAGAGUCCUGGACAGUUAGAGAUGGUGGUCUCACCUCUGAGCUUUGCUCUGG
Acanthochromis polyacanthus (spiny chromis) is the source of this 1531-nucleotide long non-coding RNA. RefSeq lists it as uncharacterized. The record is from RefSeq and is a predicted model, not a curated record. The transcript has 3 exons. NCBI's taxonomy places the organism in Eukaryota, Metazoa, Chordata, Actinopteri, Pomacentridae.